RNAcentral lists this ribosomal RNA (229 nucleotides) under uncultured bacterium. RNAcentral's name for it is "partial 16S ribosomal RNA". It matches the Rfam family "Bacterial small subunit ribosomal RNA", at positions 118 to 347 of the family's 1533-position model. The record is from RNAcentral.
UGGGCAACCUGCCCUCAGCUCUGGGAUAACUCCAAGAAAUUGGGGCUAAUACCGGAUGUGACCGCUGACCGCAUGGUCUGGUGGUGGAAAGAUUUAUCGGCCGGGGAUGGGCCCGCGGCCUAUCAGCUUGUUGGUGGGGUAGUGGCCUACCAAGGCGACGACGGGUAGCCGGCCUGAGAGGGUGACCGGCCACACUGGGACUGAGACACGGCCCAGACUCCUACGGGAG